This 1097-nucleotide non-coding RNA is filed under the name Pan troglodytes (chimpanzee). Lineage: Eukaryota; Metazoa; Chordata; Mammalia; Primates; Hominidae. The record is from RNAcentral.
UCUGCGUGGCCACGGGCAGCACGAAUUGCAGCAUCUUACCCAUGUCGUUGCAGGCGUUAUCCCGAGCCUCGUCCAUGCGCACUGCGUUCUCCGGGGCGGAGAACGCCUGGAUCACCUCCGCCAGGACCACUGCGCGCCAGAAGCAUCCCAGGGAGGCGUCCCGGGUAGGCGUCGGAGAACGGACAGCGGGCCCAGCGGAGAGCGCAAGGAAUUAGUGGAUUGAGGCUGUAGGUAACCCAAUAAGAUCCCAAGUCUUGGGGGCAAGCGCCCCACUUAAAUGACGGUACCCGGCGUCCCCUACGGUACCCGGCGUCUCCUACCCCAUUUUCCCGGCGGACAUAGCCAGGUUUGUCGCCCCACAUCCUCCGCCCGCAUCCUCCCCAGACCAGCAGCCCAUGCCUUGACUAGGAUGAUUCUCACCCUUCGCUUGCUCAGCGCUCAGGGCCGCCGGUUGGGUCGAGGCGGACGCCAUAGGGCGUCUGAAGCUCUAGGUUCAGCGGAUGUAAAUGGAAAACUCACGAAAAAAGAGCCGCGUCCUACCACCGUUCCCAAAGCCAGCAGGGGUGGAAAGGAAACAGCAUCCGGCGCAGCCGGAAGCCUUCAGGCGUGGCCCAAACCUUCAUACCCGACGUUUACAACAGCAUUUAGACCAACAAAACUAUCCAUCGAGUAGCUAAUUCGUGCACAGUGAAAAUAAUCUAUUAUUAAAAACAGACUGCAUAAGAGGGGCUUUCCAGUAAACAAACCAGAAAGCCUACUAGACAAAUUCUAAAAGAGCUGUAACACUGCUGCGCAUGUGUUUGGAGAGAAGAUGGGAUAUGCAGGAACUCCACAUUUGGUGAGGGUGAGCUUAGGUGACCUUUUUUCUUGUUCCCACUACUGUAUAAACAACGACGCAUGUGGUAACUUUCAGUAGGAAAAAUAAUAUUCUAAGGAACUUACUUAAGUCAUUCAUUUCUAGAGUUCGCGAACAUUUGUUCUCAGCCCAUGCAAAUGAGUUCGGUGCUGAUUGGUUGAGAAAGCAGCCAGUCAGAGCCCCUUCGUUGUUGUUAAGCCCGGAGACCUGGAUUCGGCAGUAAAGGCCCAGAGCAAAAGCC